AGAGUCGAUCGGACAGUCGCUGCCUGUUUUUGUUCCGCAACUUUUUGUUGUGUGAGCAGCAGGGGGAGGAAAGUCCGGGCUCCACAGGGCGGAGUGCCAGGUAACGCCUGGGAGGCGUGAGCCUACGGAAAGUGCCACAGAAAAUAACCGCCUAAGCNNCGUGGCUAGGUAAACCCCACUCGGAGCAAGACCAAAUAGGGUUCCAUCAGGCGUGGCCCGCGUCGGAACCGGGUAGGUUGCUAGAGGCGUCCAGUGAUGGCCGUCGUAGAGGAAUGACUGUCCUCGACAAAACCCNNCGGCUUACAGAUCGACUCUCCAC
RNAcentral lists this RNase P RNA (319 nucleotides) under Pseudomonas sp. RNAcentral's name for it is "RNase P RNA component class A". It matches the Rfam family "Bacterial RNase P class A". From Rfam's summary of the family: Ribonuclease P (RNase P) is a ubiquitous endoribonuclease, found in archaea, bacteria and eukarya as well as chloroplasts and mitochondria. Its best characterised activity is the generation of mature 5'-ends of tRNAs by cleaving the 5'-leader elements of precursor-tRNAs. The record is from RNAcentral. Lineage: Bacteria; Pseudomonadati; Pseudomonadota; Gammaproteobacteria; Pseudomonadales; Pseudomonadaceae.